CACACAACAAACAAGAAACAUCAUCACUAAACCAGACCUCCCAGCACUACAUCAACCCGUCUUUUGAACACCUCCAGGGAUGAUGUGUCCAUACUUCCCCCUUUGACCACCUCCCCCGCAGCCCCCCAAAAGUUUUGACCUUCUUGAAAAAUCCUUCUCUCCCCAGCUCUGAGCUCCUGGGACCCCCAAAAAACCAUAUUCCCUUAUUCUCAUGGACCGUCUGCAGGGCUGGAUCCCUCGGUGGGACGUGGGUCUGGACUCUCUGUCCCGCACGUGGUGGAUACGUGCCAGACGGCAGCACUUUUUUUAAAUAAUCUGUAGCACUCUAAUGUCCGUCCCGCAGGAGCUGAUGAAAUGGGUCCUAUUAUACUUCCUGAGCUAAGCUUGAUCUUUCAUUGUCCCGUCGGCCCAGCUCCCGGCACCGCGAGCUCCAUUUUCACUGCGGACAAUUGCAAAGGCCAAAAGUGGGAAUCACCGGUGGUGGAAAAGUUUUAUGGGUUUCCCUUUUGCCAUUUCCAUCUAGAUGACAUCAUAAAACGCCACAGGAAGGAGCAGACGGAGGGCAGUGCCACGGGGGACCGGCGGCAGCAGCAGGUGAAGAACAGGAACGCGGCGUUUGGGUCCGGGCGGCCCCGAUUCCGCGCCUGGAUGCAGAGGAAUUUGCAAGGGCCUAACCGUUUUAGAAGAGGGUUUGGACAACAACAACACAACCGGAGACAGUUCAGGAACACUGUGCCCGGCCCCAGGAGAAGGGCAGCUGCCGCCUUAAACGGAGUGAGCCCUUUGAAUCGCCAGGCAUCGGCUCAGGAGGGCAACAGGAACGACGAGGCUUUCGCCAAAAGCAGCGGGCAGCCCGAGGGACGGCGACGGCCGCCCCCAGGCCCCAAGAGAUUCCGAGUGGCUGCUGCCAGCACCCACGCCCCGGGGAGAAGGCCUUUCCUGCUGAACCGGGGACCAGCCUUCCAGCAGAAGCGGAUGCCGCAGUGGUUCUCCAAAGCCAACUUUCAGAGAGGGCAGAUGGAUGCUAAUGGAGAAGGGAAACCACCCAGGAGGAGAAGGUGGCAAGUGAAGCCCAGCCCCGGAGCGGUUCUGACGGUUUCUGUGGCUAAUCCCCAGGCGGGCCAGGCCGGCGCGCCCGGAUCCAAGCGGCCGUUCCUGCGAAGCCGGAGGCCCCCACCACCACCAGCCAAGCCCCAGCCCAAGGGGGUGCUGCUGAGGUUCAACUUCCGCGCCAUGGCCAACCAGGCCAGCCAAAGCCAUCUCCAGACUAACCUCUGGUGGGGUCGAGAGGUUUAGAAGUGCAGGAGGAACCAUACAGGGUCAGGAGAGAGUCCCCGUGGAGCAUCCCCGGGAUUGGGACACCAGGACCAAACCAAACACACAGCGAUUUCUUCCUUUAGCCCUGGUAUCUUUGUGUUUAACAGCAUUUGGUGGGGUUUUCUUCCACUGUUGCCUUUUGCUGUUUGCUUUCUGUCUAUUUGUCUGCCUCCAGAGGCCAGUAUUACAAGUGAAUAUUUGUUCCUGUAUGCCCUUCACAAUUUAUAGACCCAUGCCGUGUUCUCCCUUCCUCACCACCUUUCUAGAAGAACCUCAGUGUAUCUACUUGUUCACUGCCACCUUCUGGAUAUAUAUAUAUAUUUUUUUUUUUAGUGUAUAUAAAUUUGUAAUAAAGAUAUCUUAAAAUAAACUAUGUUUAUAUUA
RNAcentral lists this long non-coding RNA (1701 nucleotides) under Calidris pugnax (ruff). RNAcentral's name for it is "lncRNA (ENSCPUG00000011294.1)". The record is from RNAcentral. Lineage: Eukaryota; Metazoa; Chordata; Aves; Charadriiformes; Scolopacidae.